Molecule: long non-coding RNA, 624 nt
Organism: Fukomys damarensis (Damara mole-rat)
Lineage: Eukaryota; Metazoa; Chordata; Mammalia; Rodentia; Bathyergidae
Source: Ensembl
CAGGCAGAAGGUGUGGAGUGCGGCAGAGAGAAAACGGAAGGCAAAGAAGAGGUGCUGUGAAAGAGGAACUAGCAUGGCCGUACGAAGCCAAGGUGUGGAGAAGCAGCUCAGAUGGGGACGGGGUGAAGAUGCCCGGGAAAACUGCGGUAAAAAAGAAUGGAUGGGGAGGCCAUGAGGUGCCUCUCAGUUUCUGAUCUGCAAUCUUCCAGGUUCUGUUAAAAUCUCCCAGGAAACAGCGUCAAGUCCCACCCCCAGAUACUAGCUCCCGUUUGUUUCUGUCCAGAUAUCGACUCUGACUUCCGAGGCUUCUGAGGAACCCAGGGAAGCACACAGUGAGCCUCUGCCUGGGUCUCCCAGCUUCCCCCGGCACAGGUGUGGCUCUCUGCAAUCACAGCCCUGCCUGCCCUGUUUGCAGGGCCACCUGCCCUGGACGGCCGUGCAGACGGCCCGCAGACGACAGGCAGAGAAGAUGACGUGAGGGCAGACGGAGCUGGAGGUGCUGAGAUUUACACGCCAGCACAGAUGGCAGUUCAGCCUUGGGCCUGUGCGUGAAGCCCGCUGUGCCUCUCACAAAGAAGACAGGCUUUUCAAAAGGGGUACUGAGCACUGCCAGCCCAGGAGGGG